GAUGAACGCUGGCGGCGUGCCUAAUACAUGCAAGUCGAGCGAACAGACGAGGAGCUUGCUCCUCUCACGUUAGCGGCGGACGGGUGAGUAACACGUGGAUAACCUACCUAUAAGACUGGGAUAACUUCGGGAAACCGGCGCUAAUACCGGAUAAUAUAUUGAACCGCAUGGUUCAAUAGUGAAAGACGGUUUUGCUGUCACUUAUAGAUGGAUCCGCGCCGCAUUAGCUAGUUGGUAAGGUAACGGCUUACCAAGGGGACGAUGCGUAGCCGACCUGAUGGGGUGAUCGCCCACCUUGGAGCUGGGACACGCUCCAGACUCCUACGGGAGGGCGCAGUAGCGAAUCUUCCGCAAUGGGCGAAAGCCUUACGGAGCAACGGCGCGUGAGUGAUGAAGAUCUUCGGAUCGUAAAACUCUGUUAUGAGGGAAGAACCAAUGUGUAAGUAACUAUGCACGUCUUGACGGUACCUAGUCAGAAAGCCACGGCUAACUACGUG
RNAcentral lists this ribosomal RNA (497 nucleotides) under uncultured bacterium. Its description in RNAcentral is "partial 16S ribosomal RNA". It matches the Rfam family "Bacterial small subunit ribosomal RNA", at positions 28 to 507 of the family's 1533-position model. The record is from RNAcentral.